UGUUAGUGGAAGCGUCUGGAAAGGCGUGCGAUACAGGGUGACAGCCCCGUACACAAAAAUGCACAUAUUGUGAGCUCGAUGAGUAGGGCGGGACACGUGGUAUCCUGUCUGAAUAUGGGGGGACCAUCCUCCAAGGCUAAAUACUCCUGACUGACCGAUAGUGAACCAGUACCGUGAGGGAAAGGCGAAAAGAACCCCGGCGAGGGGAGUGAAAAAGAACCUGAAACCGUGUACGUACAAGCAGUGGGAGCCUCUUAAUGGGGUGACUGCGUACCUUUUGUAUAAUGGGUCAGCGACUUAUAUUCUGUAGCAAGGUUAACCGAAUAGGGGAGCCGAAGGGAAACCGAGUCUUAACUGGGCGUUAAGUUGCAGGGUAUAGACCCGAAACCCGGUGAUCUAGCCAUGGGCAGGUUGAAGGUUGGGUAACACUAACUGGAGGACCGAACCGACUAAUGUUGAAAAAUUAGCGGAUGACUUGUGGCUGGGGGUGAAAGGCCAAUCAAACCGGGAGAUAGCUGGUUCUCCCCGAAAGCUAUUUAGGUAGCGCCUCGUGAAUUCAUCUCCGGGGGUAGAGCACUGUUUCGGCAAGGGGGUCAUCCCGACUUACCAACCCGAUGCAAACUGCGAAUACCGGAGAAUGUUAUCACGGGAGACACACGGCGGGUGCUAACGUCCGUCGUGAAGAGGGAAACAACCCAGACCGCCAGCUAAGGUCCCAAAGUCAUGGUUAAGUGGGAAACGAUGUGGGAAGGCCCAGACAGCCAGGAUGUUGGCUUAGAAGCAGCCAUCAUUUAAAGAAAGCGUAAUAGCUCACUGGUCGAGUCGGCCUGCGCGGAAGAUGUAACGGGGCUAAACCAUGCACCGAAGCUGCGGCAGCGACACUAUGUGUUGUUGGGUAGGGGAGCGUUCUGUAAGCCUGUGAAGGUGGCCUGUGAGGGUUGCUGGAGGUAUCAGAAGUGCGAAUGCUGACAUAAGUAACGAUAAAGCGGGUGAAAAGCCCGCUCGCCGGAAGACCAAGGGUUCCUGUCCAACGUUAAUCGGGGCAGGGUGAGUCGACCCCUAAGGCGAGGCCGAAAGGCGUAGUCGAUGGGAAACAGGUUAAUAUUCCUGUACUUGGUGUUACUGCGAAGGGGGGACGGAGAAGGCUAUGUUGGCCGGGCGACGGUUGUCCCGGUUUAAGCGUGUAGGCUGGUUUUCCAGGCAAAUCCGGAAAACC
Molecule: ribosomal RNA, 1216 nt
Filed under: Escherichia coli
Lineage: Bacteria; Pseudomonadati; Pseudomonadota; Gammaproteobacteria; Enterobacterales; Enterobacteriaceae
Description: partial 23S ribosomal RNA
Rfam family: Bacterial large subunit ribosomal RNA
Source: RNAcentral